GACGAACGCUGGCGGCGUGCUUAACACAUGCAAGUCGAACGGUAAGGCCCUUCGGGGUACACGAGUGGCGAACGGGUGAGUAACACGUGGGUGAUCUGCCCUGCACUUCGGGAUAAGCCUGGGAAACUGGGUCUAAUACCGGAUAGGACCACUGCCUGCAUGGGUGGUGGUGGAAAGCUUUUGCGGUGUGGGAUGGGCCCGCGGCCUAUCAGCUUGUUGGCGGGGUGAUGGCCGACCAAGGCGACGACGGGUAGCCGGCCUGGGAGGGUGACCGGCCAGACUGGGACUGAGAUACGGCCCAGACUCCUACGGGAGGCAGCAGUGGGGAAUAUUGCACAAUGGGCGCAAGCCUGAUGCAGCGACGCCGCGUGAGGGAUGACGGCCUUCGGGUUGUAAACCUCUUUCAGCACCGACGAAGCGCAAGUGACGGUAGGUGCAGAAGAAGGACCGGCCAACUACGUGCCAGCCGCCGCAGUAA
This 478-nucleotide ribosomal RNA is filed under the name uncultured bacterium. RNAcentral describes it as "partial 16S ribosomal RNA". It matches the Rfam family "Bacterial small subunit ribosomal RNA", at positions 28 to 523 of the family's 1533-position model. The record is from RNAcentral.